AAGAAAAAUGAUAUGCAUACCAACAAAAUCAAGCGGAUAUCCUGACGAGUGUGCUCGUGGUGGUCGCUCAGAUCCCAGCCGUGCGUGGCGGCGGGCGUCCUCGUCGAGAUAGUGUCGUUGUAUACAUCAACUUCAUCUCCAACCCAUCCACAGGUGUACCAGCUCCUCUCUGUAUAUUGUUUGAUUUUUUCAUGUUCAAUUCAACUUUCGCUAAAAGAACUUCAAAAUCGAGCAGGGAUUGCUUGAUUUGUAGCCAAUGAUUUAAUUGUUCAUACUAUUUUGGUGUCUAGAAAUAGUAGUAAAACUACUAAUAUCGUAUUAGGGGCUACAACGCAGCAUGUAUUGUUUGUUUGAAUUAAUUUAUUUUCAUUGUAAUAGAGAGGAAGCAGUGAGUUUUGCUGGGGUUUUUUCCUGAAGGAAUCGUGGUUUCUUUCAGGCCAUCUCCAUGGUAACACAGGGCCAGGGUUUUGGUGUAAGUAGCUCUAAAAUAUUAAUUAGACUGGUGAAUCUGACGGUUAUAGUGCUCCAUUCAAUUAUGAUUCACUAUCGCCGCUAUAUCAGAUGGAAGGUUUACAGUUUGGAGAUUGGAGCAUCCAAGAUAUUAUAUCAUAUUGUUCAUGAAAAGUUAUGCAAUAAGAAGUUAAGAACCACCCGAUAAUAUGGAAUCGCUGUAUGCCUUUUUACAGCAACUAGCAAGGAGCAAAAUAAUAUUUUUGAUGUUGCUUUGACUAAUUAAGUGAGGUCCUAACUUAAGUUGGCUAAUUUCUUUCAUACCCAUUAUAUGAUUGGCAUGUCCUAUUUCUCUCUUGGUUUCUUCUUCUUUCUUUUGUUGCUUCUUUGGAAUUUUGUUGGUGUAUUUUGGCUAUUUGUUGAGUGUUUGGUGCUUGGUUUUCAGUUGUUCACUUUCUUUUUCUUCCCCUUCUUUGAUUUUUCUUUUGGAUGAUCUUCUCCUAAUAGACACCAUAUGGUUUUUGUGUUGUUUCCUAGGUACAGAUUUUGGUGUCAAUUCCUGGACCUUGCUGCCUGCAUGGCCAUCGGCAUAGCCAACCCGACGUGCCGGCGUUUAGCGCGGAUGGCCAGAUCUAUGCGGCAGAGAGCAUGGCCGAUGCUGGAAGGGAGGUCUUGCCGCCGGCCUCCAAGCAGUCGGUAGGCACAAUGGAUCCUAAAGCUCCAGGCUGGAUCAAAAGGGUGAGGAUUUGGGAGGAAGCCCCUGUUUAGACACCUUGUCCCAGUCAAGCACGAGCCGACGGCGGUGACACUGCAUAUGUUAUCCAGGAUCAUGCUCAACGGUUGUGUCAUCGGCGACAAGAUCCACAAGAUGCCAUGGCGGUGGUUGCCCCGGGUGUUAAUGUAGAGGGCAGGAACCAGUAGCAGGUGAGCACCAAGAUCUCUGAAACUUUUUCUUCAAAAUACAGUAACCAAGCUGCGUUUGUUUCGUGCACAUACAUAAAUGGAUGGCUCUUCUUCUUGGAGCCCCAAGUUGUGGGAAAAAACCCCUAUUGCUACCACUUGCAGGAAAGCUCAACCAAAACCAAGAGAUGUACAUAUUUAUCCCCACAAGGCCACAAGACACAACUGUGUGUUGUAGGUAGCAUCAGAAAUUGAGUUGAAUGGGAUCAAGAUGGAGCGGUAAUACAAAAGCAUUGUAUUUGCUUGGUCCAAUAAGGCUGCACGGCGCCACCACGCCCGCUCAAGACGACUGUGGCCGGAACCAAAGACCCUGGACAGGAGCCAUUUGCUUUCAACAUUGGCAAGGGUUCAAUGAUCAAAAGUGAUCCUCUUUGCUCGUGGGCGCGCAAUGGGAGCGCGGCGCACAAUCUCCGCCUGCUCUAGGACACUACAUGCGGCACAGUCACGUUGGCCUCGGCGGCAGGCACCACAACGACAGCGAGCGGGGAUUUUCCAUCGUUCAGAUGCUAGCGUUCCAGUUCCGCACCCCUUCCAUGUGUGUGCUCCAGUUUAUGCCCUGCAUUGUGCCCUUCAUCCCGCAAACCCCUGGCGUUUACAACAAGGACUGCUACUUCUUCUGCGAUGCUCGCGACGUGGGCCGUGUUGAGGACUAAUAAGAUGGCGAAGGAGCAGCUUCUCAAGAAGGCGAUGAUGAAGGUGAGCGUCGGCUCAUUGGGCAACGGAGAGCGGUGAGGAUGCGAAGGCGGAUGCGAUGCAAUACAACGGCAUGGUGGAGAGGAGUAUCUUGUAGAGACAUAAUGUUAAGAUUGCUUGUUUAUUUGUUGAGUUUGAUUACCAUUUGUAUAUGCACUUGUCCUAUCAACUGCAAAGAAAGCCACUCAAAGGGGCACUUCCUUA
Molecule: long non-coding RNA, 2307 nt
Organism: Triticum dicoccoides
Lineage: Eukaryota; Viridiplantae; Streptophyta; Magnoliopsida; Poales; Poaceae
Exons: 7
Source: RefSeq, a predicted model, not a curated record